UCAUUUUGGGAGAGGGAAAAACUUGAAGAGCUUAAGAUUGAGUGUUAAGGCUGAUUUUCUUUGAGUGUUUGACAAAUCAGAAAUUACUGUUUCUUGCAUCUUUCUGUGUUCCUUUGGUAUUGUUGGAUUUCAGUUCGGUAUUUUAUGGCUUUUAUUGGUUGAGCAUUGUUCCAUUGGCUUUCUACCUGGUUUUCUUUAAAUCUGCCACUGGAUGUCUAUUACUGGUUAUUAUUGGCUUCACUGGUUGUAGUUGUGUUGCUGAAUUUACUGUGUUUCUUCGACUGAUUUUCCUCUUCUUCCUUUGAUUUCCAUAUGAGGUAUACAACUGAUACCUCUUGUAAGUUGAAAUAUUGAGGCAUGAAUACAAAGGAUGAGGAGUUGAAGUUGUAAAUUUUAAUUAGCUUCUUCUUCUUUAUUUAGUGUACUUGGGUCAUGUUAUACACUGCUUAUGUAAGUUUUUGCCUUGUAUAAGUGGGUGUUCCCUUUUGGCAGUAGUUUAGUUGUAAGCAUCCUCCCUUGUAUGUUUAGUUGAAAAGGAAUAAUGGCGUAGGAAACCAUGUUCUGUUAUUGCAUAUUGCUUGGUGAAUAUUCUAUCUCAAAAAGCAUUUUAGAUACCAAUAGUUACUUCAUUGAACAAAUGGCCUGUUUUGAAACUUAUAGGAAUGUUGUUUAAUUAGAUACCGUUGAUUAAUUUCAGCAUGUAAAUGGUUUAGGA
Molecule: long non-coding RNA, 715 nt
Filed under: Nicotiana benthamiana
Lineage: Eukaryota; Viridiplantae; Streptophyta; Magnoliopsida; Solanales; Solanaceae
Description: long non-coding RNA (NBEN_LNC031037)
Source: RNAcentral